RNAcentral lists this unclassified non-coding RNA (213 nucleotides) under plant metagenome. RNAcentral describes it as "partial contains small subunit ribosomal RNA, internal transcribed spacer 1, and 5.8S ribosomal RNA". The record is from RNAcentral.
UUUCCGUAGGUGAACCUGCGGAAGGAUCAUUCAUAAUAAGUGUUUUAUGGCACUUUUUUAAAUCCAUAUCCACCCUGUGUGCAAUAUCAGGGUUGAUUUCUCUCUCGAGAGGAUCAACCCCAAACAUCAACUAUAUCUCAACUCUUUGUCUGAAAAAUAUUAUGAAUAAAACAAUUCAAAAUACAACUUUCAACAACGGAUCUCUUGGCUCUC